GUGUAGCUCAAGAGCAGAGCAUGUGCUUAGCAAGUACGAGGCUGGGUUCGAACCCCAGCAC
RNAcentral lists this transfer RNA (61 nucleotides) under Ictidomys tridecemlineatus (thirteen-lined ground squirrel). Its description in RNAcentral is "Spermophilus tridecemlineatus (thirteen-lined ground squirrel) tRNA". It matches the Rfam family "tRNA", at positions 5 to 66 of the family's 71-position model. Rfam says of the family: Transfer RNA (tRNA) molecules are approximately 80 nucleotides in length. Their secondary structure includes four short double-helical elements and three loops (D, anti-codon, and T loops). Lineage: Eukaryota; Metazoa; Chordata; Mammalia; Rodentia; Sciuridae. The record is from Rfam by way of RNAcentral.